AAAACUUUCAACAACGGAUCUCUUGGUUCUGGCAUCGAUGAAGAACGCAGCGAAAUGCGAUAAGUAAUGUGAAUUGCAGAAUUCAGUGAAUCAUCAAAUCUUUGAACGCACAUUGCGCCCCUUGGUAUUCCGAGGGGCAUGCCUGUUCGAGCGUCAUUAC
This 160-nucleotide ribosomal RNA is filed under the name Candelariella rosulans. Its description in RNAcentral is "5.8S ribosomal RNA". It matches the Rfam family "5.8S ribosomal RNA". Rfam says of the family: 5.8S ribosomal RNA (5.8S rRNA) is a component of the large subunit of the eukaryotic ribosome. It is transcribed by RNA polymerase I as part of the 45S precursor that also contains 18S and 28S rRNA. The record is from RNAcentral. Lineage: Eukaryota; Fungi; Ascomycota; Candelariomycetes; Candelariales; Candelariaceae.